Molecule: ribosomal RNA, 301 nt
Filed under: uncultured bacterium
Lineage: Bacteria
Description: partial 16S ribosomal RNA
Rfam family: Bacterial small subunit ribosomal RNA
Source: RNAcentral
CAGUAGCCGCGGUAAUACGAAGGGGGCUAGCGUUGCUCGGAAUUACUGGGCGUAAAGGGAGCGUAGGCGGAUCGUUAAGUUGGGGGUGAAAGCCCGGGGCUCAACCUCGGAACUGCCUUCAAUACUGGCGAUCUUGAGUAUGAGAGAGGUGUGUGGAACUCCGAGUGUAGAGGUGAAAUUCGUAGAUAUUCGGAAGAACACCAGUGGCGAAGGCGACACACUGGCUCAUUACUGACGCUGAGGCUCGAAAGCGUGGGGAGCAAACAGGAUUAGAUACCCCCGUAGUCCCUGUCUCUUAUAA